RNAcentral lists this ribosomal RNA (255 nucleotides) under uncultured bacterium. RNAcentral's name for it is "partial 16S ribosomal RNA". It matches the Rfam family "Bacterial small subunit ribosomal RNA", at positions 524 to 776 of the family's 1533-position model. The record is from RNAcentral.
UACGUAGGGUGCAAGCGUUUGUCCGGAAUUAUUGGGCGUAAAGAGCUUGUAGGCGGUUUGUCGCGUCUGCUGUGAAAUUUCGGGGCUCAACCCCGAACUUGCAGUGGGUACGGGCAGACUAGAGUGUGGUAGGGGAGACUGGAAUUCCUGGUGUAGCGGUGAAAUGCGCAGAUAUCAGGAGGAACACCGAUGGCGAAGGCAGGUCUCUGGGCCAUAACUGACGCUGAGAAGCGAAAGCAUGGGGGAGCGAACAGG